Molecule: ribosomal RNA, 446 nt
Filed under: uncultured bacterium
Lineage: Bacteria
Description: partial 16S ribosomal RNA
Rfam family: Bacterial small subunit ribosomal RNA
Source: RNAcentral
CCUACGGGAGGCAGCAGUCGAGAAUCAUUCACAAUGGGGGAAACCCUGAUGGUGCGACGCCGCGUGGGGGAAUGAAGGUCUUCGGAUUGUAAACCCCUGUCAUGUGGGAGCAAAUUAAAAAGAUAGUACCACAAGAGGAAGAGACGGCUAACUCUGUGCAAGCAGCCGCGGGAAUACAGAGGUCUCAAGCGUUGUUCGGAAUCACUGGGCGUAAAGCGUGCGUAGGCUGUUUCGUAAGUCGUGUGUGAAAGGCGCGGGCUCAACCCGCGGACGGCACAUGAUACUGCGAGACUAGAGUAAUGGAGGGGGAACCGGAAUUCUCGGUGUAGCAGUGAAAUGCGUAGAUAUCGAGAGGAACACUCGUGGCGAAGGCGGGUUCCUGGACAUUAACUGACGCUGAGGCACGAAGGCCAGGGGAGCGAAAGGGAUUAGAUACCCGGGUAGUC